RNAcentral lists this ribosomal RNA (449 nucleotides) under uncultured bacterium. Its description in RNAcentral is "partial 16S ribosomal RNA". It matches the Rfam family "Bacterial small subunit ribosomal RNA", at positions 29 to 523 of the family's 1533-position model. The record is from RNAcentral.
AGCGAACGCUGGCGGCAGGCCUAACACAUGCAAGUCGAACGAAGUCUUCGGACUUAGUGGCGGACGGGUGAGUAACACGUGGGAACGUGCCUUUAGGUCCGGAAUAACUUAGGGAAACUUGUGCUAAUACCGAAUGUGCCCUUCGGGGGAAAGAUUUAUCGCCUUUAGAGCGGCCCGCGUCUGAUUAGCGAGUUGGUGAGGUAAAGGCUCACCAAGGCGACGAUCAGUAGCUGGUCUGAGAGGAUGAUCAGCCACAUUGGGACUGAGACACGGCACAAACUCCUACGGGAGGCAGCAGUGGGGAAUCUUGCGCAAUGGGCGAAAGCCUGACGCAGCCAUGCCGCGUGAAUGAUGAAGGUCUUAGGAUUGUAAAAUUCUUUCACCGGGGACGAUAAUGACGGUACCCGGAGAAGAAGCCCCGGCUAACUUCGUGCCAGCCGCCGCAGUAA